GUUCCUGCUGGGACGUUCCCACGGUCCAGCCCCAGCCUCGGCUUUCCUGUGACUCUUGUCGCAUCCUCACCGCCAGAAGUUCACUGAGCCCUGGCGAUUCCUCGCUUUUAUAAUCUAGCCACUUAGCCAAAGCCCUUUUUUAUCUCUUGCCUAAUUGACAACUACAGCAGCGCACUGAGGCAAUCUGAGAGUUUAAGUUCUGAAACGCUUUCGACAGCGGAAGAUGAACUGGAGGCAGCAGCUGAGCCGUUUUCCAAGCCCGUUAAAUAAAUUUCCUAUGCACAUACAAGCUUACUGUUGAAGUCCUCUCAUCCAAUGCACUCAGAACGGGACUGUAAGUCCAGCUGCUGUGUAUCAUCACCUCAGCCCGAUUGGUCCUCGGCCACACUUCACUUCAGCUUCUGAUAGGUCCUGGGCCAAGCUAAGCAGCAUCUAUGAAUCAUUUCACCUCCUGACUGGUCCCGGGCCAAGCCGAGUCACGCAUUCGCCAAGACAGCCCCCAGACUAAGCACAUUCCUUCCCCUUCCGUCCAUAAAAACCUGGACCCCAGCCUCAUGAUGGGCACUCCCGUUCGGGACCCCCUCUCUGCUGGCAGAGAGCUUUCUUCUUUCACCUUAUUAAACUUUCACUCUAACCUCACCUUUGUGUCCGUGCUCCAUAAUCGUCUUGGAGGUGGGACAAGAACUCCAGGUGUUAUCUCAGACAACGAAAGACUGUUUCAAUAAUGUAGUAUAUAAGUGGACAAGAACUCCAGGUGUUAUCUCAGAC
Molecule: long non-coding RNA, 768 nt
Filed under: Homo sapiens (human)
Lineage: Eukaryota; Metazoa; Chordata; Mammalia; Primates; Hominidae
Description: non-protein coding lnc-ABCA1-2:5
Source: RNAcentral